AGAGCUGUGGCUGAGCGGCUAGGCACCUGACAAACAUUCAGGAUCACGCAGGUUCAAAUCCUGUCGGCUCUA
Molecule: transfer RNA, 72 nt
Filed under: Candidatus Kuenenbacteria bacterium
Lineage: Bacteria; Candidatus Kueneniibacteriota
Description: tRNA-Val
Rfam family: tRNA
About the family: Transfer RNA (tRNA) molecules are approximately 80 nucleotides in length.
Source: RNAcentral